UACGAAUGGGGCUAGCGUUGUUCGGAAUAACUGGGCGUAAAGCGCAUUUAGGCGGAUUUUUAAGUCAGAGGUGAAAUCCCAGGGCUCAACCCCGGCAUUGCCUUUGAUACUGGAGAUCUGGAGUCUGGGAGAGGUGAGUGGAAUUCCGAGUGUAGAGGUGAAAUUCGUAGAUAUUCGGAGGAACACCAGUGGCGAAGGCGGCUCACUGGCCCGAGAUUGACGAUGAGAUGCGAAAGCGUGGGGAGCAAACAGG
Molecule: ribosomal RNA, 253 nt
Filed under: uncultured bacterium
Lineage: Bacteria
Description: partial 16S ribosomal RNA
Rfam family: Bacterial small subunit ribosomal RNA
Source: RNAcentral